GAUGAACGCUGGCGGCAUGCCUAAUACAUGCAAGUCGGGCGAGUUGAUCCCUUCGGGGUGAAGCUAGCGGCGGACGGGUAAGUAACACGUGGGCAACCUGCCUCAUAGAGGGGAAUAGCCUCCCGAAAGGGAGAUUAAUACCGCAUAAGAUUGUAGCUUCGCAUGAAGUAGCAAUUAAAGGAGCAAUCCGCUAUGAGAUGGGCCCGCGGCGCAUUAGCUAGUUGGUGAGGUAACGGCUCACCCAAGGCGACGAUGCGUAGCCGACCUGAGAGGGUGAUCGGGCCACAUUGGGACUGGGACACGGGCCCCAGACUCCUACGGGAGGCAGCAGUGGGGAAUAUUGCACAA
This 348-nucleotide ribosomal RNA is filed under the name uncultured bacterium. RNAcentral describes it as "bacterial SSU rRNA". It matches the Rfam family "Bacterial small subunit ribosomal RNA", at positions 28 to 371 of the family's 1533-position model. The record is from RNAcentral.